CAAACCAAAGCUGGCGACCGGCGCACGGGUGAGUAACACGUAUCCAACCUGCCUCAUACUCGGGGAUAGCCUUUCGAAAGAAAGAUUAAUAUCCGAUAGCAUAUAUUUCCCGCAUGGGUUUUAUAUUAAAGAAAUUCGGUAUGAGAUGGGGAUGCGUUCCAUUAGUUUGUUGGGGGGGUAACGGCCCACCAAGAUUACGAUGGAUAGGGGUUCUGAGAGGAAGGUCCCCCACAUUGGAACUGAGACACGGUCCAA
RNAcentral lists this ribosomal RNA (255 nucleotides) under uncultured bacterium. Its description in RNAcentral is "partial 16S ribosomal RNA". It matches the Rfam family "Bacterial small subunit ribosomal RNA", at positions 74 to 334 of the family's 1533-position model. The record is from RNAcentral.